This 255-nucleotide unclassified non-coding RNA is filed under the name plant metagenome. Its description in RNAcentral is "partial contains small subunit ribosomal RNA, internal transcribed spacer 1, and 5.8S ribosomal RNA". The stretch from base 1 to 54 matches the Rfam family "Eukaryotic small subunit ribosomal RNA", at positions 1778 to 1831 of the family's 1831-position model. The record is from RNAcentral.
GGAAGUAAAAGUCGUAACAAAGUUUCCGUAGGUGAACCUGCGGAAGGAUCAUUAUUGGAUUUUGAAACUUCAGGCUGCUGCUGGCUCUCCUCGGAGGGCAUGUGCACGCUUGUUGUCCAUUAUUUCUCCCACUGUGCACAAAUUGUAGACCUUUCAGUAGGCCUAUGUUGUUUUUCACAAUCUCUGAAUGUAAUAGAAUGGUUUUGAAUCUUGGGAAAUACAAUACAACUUUCAGCAACGGAUCUCUUGGCUCUC